RNAcentral lists this long non-coding RNA (822 nucleotides) under Nicotiana benthamiana. RNAcentral describes it as "long non-coding RNA (NBEN_LNC037768)". Lineage: Eukaryota; Viridiplantae; Streptophyta; Magnoliopsida; Solanales; Solanaceae. The record is from RNAcentral.
UCAUCAUUUUUUGAGACUCUUUCAAGGUUGAAUCAAGAAUAUCCUGCAACUCAUUACAUCUUUCACAGUCAUAAGAUCUUACCUCAUUAGUUUCACCGUGCCAUGAAACAGUUUCCAUUCUCGUCAUCUAAAUCAUCUUCAUCUGUCCAGUAUCCUGAAGUUUUGUUUAUUUCAUUCUCCAGAAUUGUUAUUAGCAAAUAUUUGCUCUCUCUCCAUGGUUAGAGUUAUCCUUAUCGCUCUAGCUUCCGAAGGAUUUGUUCUUGUUGAAGCCUCUGGAGAUCUUCCUUUUCAGUUCUGAGCAUUCAUCUUGAGUGUGCCAAAAUUUUCCACAUUCAUAGCAUUUUCCAUCGUUCUUGUCCUAUUCGGUGUAUUGUUUGGAUCCUCUUGGUGGAUAUAUUCAUUUCUUUGUGUUCCUUUAUAUUCUCAUCAGUCCAUCCAUAUUUCUAGACAUCAUAGAAAUCUCUUCUUGUAGAGCUUCAGGAUCAUCAAUUUCAUUUUCAGCCAUUUCAGUAGAGGUUAUGAACGCAACAAUUUUCUUUUUCUCCUCUUGAUUUGUCUUUUUCAAAUGUGUUCUUUCAAGAGCAAGUUAUCCUCAUAGUUCAUCAUAAGAUAAUUUGUUUAGAUCUUGAGAUUCCAAUGUUACUACUUUGGUCUGCCAACUGGUUGGCAGACUUCUGAGAAAUUUUCUUACUUGAUCACCACUGGUAUAGGUUUCCAAAUGCCUUUAAGUCGCUAAUUUUGCUAAACCUGGCAAACAUUUUUUCAAUGAAUUCACCUUCUUUCAUUUAGAAGAGUUCAUAAUCAUGAACUAGCACGUUGAUG